Molecule: non-coding RNA, 1542 nt
Organism: Tetranychus urticae (two-spotted spider mite)
Lineage: Eukaryota; Metazoa; Arthropoda; Arachnida; Trombidiformes; Tetranychidae
Source: RefSeq, a predicted model, not a curated record
UCCUUUUAGUCUAGCCACAAUUUUUACACAAAAAUUUGAUGUUUUGACUUGAUACAGUGGUCAACAAUUUGGUGGAGUAACAACGAUCUAAUAAAUUGAUUAUCAUUGGUUACCCUUCGGUUACAUUUUCAAUUGAUAAUUUCACCCUUGAGAGUUACAUAAAAAUCAGAGAGGAGGUGCCACUAGUCUAUCUGGAUAAUAUCUAAAUAAAUGUAGUCUUUUCAUCGUUUCAAAAGCUGAUUACAAUUGUAAAUUGUUUUGUUAAAUAUUCAUUUGUGAUUGAAAUAUUGUUAUCAUAUUAUCAACUGUCUUGAGUUAUCAGAUUAACGAUGAAAUUGAUGGAAAAAGACUAUCAAAUGGUAAUAAUGAUUGAGAAACAAUUUGUAUUCUCUUCGAACCAGACUUGUCUAAAUGCUUGUUUACUGGACUCCAACAGAGACGGUUUAAACAAUCACAGUAAAAUGAAAAGAUUGGUAUAAGAUUCCCCAAUAUUCAAUGGACCAUGGCAUCGAUUUUUAACGGAUAACCUGUUGAUUUCUGGUUUGCCAUCUUAUUAUUUCAUCUCUAACACUUUAAUAAUGAAGAAAGUCAAAUAUUAUCCUUCUACAAACCAUAAACAAACAUUUAAAUCAAACAACAUCAAUAUUCAAACAUGGAAUGAAUCAAAUUAUGAAAGGCCUGAACCUUGAAUCGGUGAAAAAAAGUCAUGAUAUCCUAAUUAACUGUGAUAGGAAAUCGUCCAAAUCAGAGUCAACUUUCGCUGGCGCAAUCAUCAUUAAACACAAAACAACUACAUGAUGUGAUUUCAUCUUAAUCUAUUGGCAAAGUUGAGCUAUUACCUAUUAUACUUCCGGAAUUCAAAAUCAUCAUUUAAUUAAGUUAAAUCGGCUUCCAUUUUAUAGAAGCAUUGUGUAACUUCAUUGCGGCAAACAAUUGUUAAGGAUUAAUCAAGUGACCGUCUGAUCGCACAAUGAAGUAACCUUAUUUUAAUGAACACUAAUAGAUUGGAUUCAUAAAGCAAGUCUUGUCAUACAACUUAGGAUUGGCUAUAAUCUGCAAAAACAACACAAUUUGAGCUACUUUACAACAAUUUUAUGAAGCUGCAUUUCAAUAGUAGCAAACUAUCGAUGACAAUGCACCGACGGGAAAACGAUUGAUUGAUCAAUGAUGGUCGCAAAUCAUUUUACUUGUUAGUCAAAUGGCCGAAAUUCAACAAAAAAUUAGCAUUUAUCCUUUUGAUAUGAUUUAAUUUGCUCUACUACAGUUUGAAGUUGCAUGUCAAUACAUGUAGUUACAUUUAGCAGAUUCAUUUGUGACUUGCCGUUUUAAAAUCGGAUUAUGUUUUGAUUAAUGAGAGCCAACCAUCACCAUGAUAAAGGAUGUUACCACUCAAGGCUUAUGGUUUAAUUUCAUGAUUGGGAUUGGCUUCAAGUCACUUCGGUUGGUCACAUUAAUUAAUUAAAAGAAAUAGUGAAUCCGUGUAGGUGUUUCUUAUCGUCAUUAAAGUAUUCAUGGCUGUCCCAUCAUCAAUUGGAAUGGAAA